Cercocebus atys (sooty mangabey) is the source of this 2211-nucleotide long non-coding RNA. RefSeq lists it as uncharacterized. NCBI's taxonomy places the organism in Eukaryota, Metazoa, Chordata, Mammalia, Primates, Cercopithecidae. The record is from RefSeq and is a predicted model, not a curated record. The transcript is spliced from 3 exons.
UCCCUCAGUGGAGCUCAUGGACUGCUUUUGAUUUGGAACUUCCUGAUUCUUGAGUAAAACUUCUUCAUCCAAAUAUCCAAAAAGAAAUUAAACAACUCAGAUGGCUUUGGAGAAAGAAUACCAACAACCUGGAAGAUAAUUUGCUGAAAUACAAGAAACAACGUGUAGAGAAAAGAGAAAGGUAAAGAAAUUAGCACUAGUCCCACUGACUCUCUCACUUGAUCAGCCUUUACUCCCUUGCCUCCAGUUCUUCCUUUUCUGCUUUUAUAAUGGGUGCUUGUGGUAUAAAUAAAAGGAGGUCAGGCUAUAAAUUCAGAUGACCCAAACUGAAGACCAGUCUUUCAUAGGGUAACUUGAGAUCUCAAUAUCUCUGAGCCCUAAUAUAUUCAUCUGCAAAAUAAAGAUGAUAAUGCCUGCUAAUAUACCUCAUUAUGCAUGUGACAGCAGUUUAUUGUAUAUGUGUAUUUUAUUAUCUAAAAUUAGGCAUACUAGAUCUAGAUGUAGACUCUAGAAUUUCAACUGGUUUCCUGCUUUCAACCAAUUUAUGAUGAAAGUUUUUAGAGUCUUUAAAAUAUUUAGUUUGGGGUAAUGGUACCUAGACAUUUUUAAACUUUUCCAGGGUAGCAUACUGAACUGCUUAGGACAUAGAAAAUUUUCACUUUUUUUUUUUACAAACGAAAUCUUGAUGUAGCUUCACUUUAAUGGUUAAGAUUUGAAUACUUUUGGGGCACAUGUGCAACCUGUGUGUUUUACAUGCAAUCCCUAUAAUAUAAAGAUCUUUCAUAUGAUAAAGUUGUUUUUAUAUAAAGAGAGAGAAGGAUUCACAAGUCACACAUGAAAAAUAAUUUUGUUAUUUAACCAUCACAAUUGGCAGCUGCCCUGUAUAUUCAUUAUCUAGAAGAUAUAUGUGGACAAAUAUAAUUUGGUAAGGUUGAUCAUUUCAGAGGUGAAUGUAGACUUUGAGCUUCAUUAACUAAAGUUGAAAAUUAGACCACCAGAUUUCAACUACCCAGCAGUAAUUAAUUCCAGCAUGUGAAGUUUAAUUAGGGAAAAACAAAAUAUAUUGCAAAUUGUUGAAAAGAAAAGCCACCAACUGAUGACACAGGACUAUUUAAAUAUAUUAAAGAAAUGGUGCAGUAUGUUAAGCAUGUAAUUCCGCCAAAAUUCUCCCAGCUUUAUUUUGUCUUCCUUUCCAUAUCCUUGGCUCUCAAAAAUUCAUUCUCAGUUCUUUGGCAAAAGAGACUGGAAGAGACCAGAAGGAGGAGAGGGGGAGUGGACAGCUCAUGCUAAUGCCACUUUUCAUUUCAUUUUUUUUUUGAAAAAUCCUACUUUGUGCAUAUAAAAUAUAGUUCAUUUCUUAUCCUGAGAGUUACCCUGGCAUAUGGCUCAAUUGGAAACAUCAAGGUUUUUAGUUCUUUUUAAAAUGGCUUGCCUCUUUUCCAGACUUUUCUUCAGAUGUAUUGUCAAUGCCACUUUUAGAGUCUAUCACCCUUAUAUUGGUAAAAUCUUCUUCACUUUCUGGCCAGGAAGGUACUGACCAUGAUGGUAAAUGAAUAGUGAGUAGGAUAAGUCUGGGACUGAUUGUGAAAGCACCCAUCUAAGCAGUUCCUUUUUCAGAUAUUAUUGAGCUUCUGUUGUUGGAGUUUUUAGUAAUAUAAAAGAUAUGUUCUCUAGACCCAGAAAGAAAACUCAUUUCUACUUUUUACUCUUCUGUUGAGUUAAGUAAUCCAAAGGCAUCUAUUGAACUCUAUAAUCAUGCUCUGAAAUCUACAUGCUCAAUUGAAAUUCUGUGAAUCCAAUCUAAUCCUGAUCCUUCUUGGUAAAAUACAAUGCUAAUUAAUGCUUAUCUUAAGAACAUUUCUAUAUAUCUGAAGAUUUUUAAACUCAAUGUUGGUCUGGUCUAGUAUUGGCAUGACUAAAAUACUCAAUUUUAAAAGUUGAAUGUGGGCUGUAAGAAUUAAUAUCUUGUUCUAUUGCCCAUCUUGGUUAAAGGUUUUGGUUUGCAGAGUAUAAAAAUACUUGUCCAAUUUAAUUCAUCAAGACUGUUCUGCAUUAGUCUGCAAUAAAUCCUGUAUAGAGUCCACUGAAUGCAUGGAAUCAUUGGAUAAUGACAGACUCUGCCCAAAGAGGGAAAAAAAGAUAGCCUAAAAGUAAGUAUCAAAUAGGGAAGUUUUGAGUAUGAAAUAAAAGAUAAAGGUAAAAGAAAACUGG